GGCGCUAUAGUGUAGUGGUUAUCACUUGGGAUUCUGAUAUCAAAUUCCCAAGACCCAGGUUCGAGCCCUGGUAGCGCCU
This is a transfer RNA of Phlebiopsis gigantea 11061_1 CR5-6, 79 nucleotides long. It matches the Rfam family "tRNA". Rfam says of the family: Transfer RNA (tRNA) molecules are approximately 80 nucleotides in length. The record is from Rfam. Lineage: Eukaryota; Fungi; Basidiomycota; Agaricomycetes; Polyporales; Phanerochaetaceae.